UAAGUCAAAACCCCCCCUUAUUUCUCCCUCUCUACGUCUCCCCCCCAUUUCUCUCUCACCAAUACCAGAACACCUUCCCUUCUCCUCCUCUCUUCGCCAUCUCUCUCUCUCAAAGAGGAAAUCCCCAAAAUCUGCAAAUCUACCCUUCCCAUCUCUUUUUCUCGGUUGGACGGUCAACGGCGAAGGACCACCACCGCCGCCGCCAACCUCCUCCUACUCACCCUCUCAGCCUCAUCUCCCUCUCACGCUACUGCCGCCGCCGCCGGACGGCGGCGCCGCCCGACGGAGGCCGGCAGCCGGCCCCUCUCUCUCUCCUCCGACUUCUCUCUCUUCCCCAGCCCUCUCUCUUCUCCUCAUCUCUCCCUCUUCUCCGUCGAUGGCAGCGGAAACCACCGCCGGCGCCGCGUCGACCGCAGCACAGCAGCAGCCGCCGCCUCCCCUUCACCCGUCUCCCUCUUGACCGGCAGCAGCAGCUGCCUCCGCCGUCCCUGCACGGAGCAGCGCCGCUGCCCCUCCUUUCCUGCAGAUCUGGCACCGCCGGUGCCGUGUCGACAGCAGCAGCGCCGUGACAGCGCCGGCGCCGUGGCCGACGCCGCUAACAGAAGAUGAAAACUUGAUGGAGAAUAACAGAAGAUGAAAACUUGAUGGAGAAGAAAACUUUAUUAUUUGAGUGCUU
RNAcentral lists this long non-coding RNA (676 nucleotides) under Salvia miltiorrhiza (redroot sage). RNAcentral describes it as "long non-coding RNA (SMIL_LNC009119)". Lineage: Eukaryota; Viridiplantae; Streptophyta; Magnoliopsida; Lamiales; Lamiaceae. The record is from RNAcentral.